Molecule: ribosomal RNA, 195 nt
Filed under: uncultured bacterium
Lineage: Bacteria
Description: partial 16S ribosomal RNA
Rfam family: Bacterial small subunit ribosomal RNA
Source: RNAcentral
CUGAAAUUCGCCUUCAUGAAGCCGGAAUUGCUAGUAAUGGCAGGUCAGCAUACUGCCGUGAAUACGUUCCCGGGCCUUGUACACACCGCCCGUCACACCAUGAGAGUUGGGGAUACCCGAAGCCUGUGAGCCAACUAUAAGAGGCAGCAGUCGAAGGUAGAAUCAAUGAUUGGGGUGAAGUCGUAACAAGGUACC